RNAcentral lists this ribosomal RNA (253 nucleotides) under uncultured bacterium. Its description in RNAcentral is "partial 16S ribosomal RNA". It matches the Rfam family "Bacterial small subunit ribosomal RNA", at positions 524 to 776 of the family's 1533-position model. The record is from RNAcentral.
UACGAAGGGGGCUAGCGUUGCUCGGAAUUACUGGGCGUAAAGGGCGCGUAGGCGGAUCGUUAAGUCAGAGGUGAAAGCCCAGGGCUCAACCCUGGAAUUGCCUUUGAUACUGGCGAUCUUGAGUACGGGAGAGGUGUGUGGAACUCCGAGUGUAGAGGUGAAAUUCGUAGAUAUUCGGAAGAACACCAGUGGCGAAGGCGACACACUGGCCCGUUACUGACGCUGAGGCGCGAAAGCGUGGGGAGCAAACAGG